GACGAACGCUGGCGGUGUGCUUAACACAUGCAAGUCGAACGGAAAGGCCCUGCUUUUGUGGGGUGCUCGAGUGGCGAACGGGUGAGUAACACGUGAGUAACCUGCCCUUGACUUUGGGAUAACUUCAGGAAACUGGGGCUAAUACCGGAUAGGAGCUCCUGCUGCAUGGUGGGGGUUGGAAAGUUUCGGCGGUUGGGGAUGGACUCGCGGCUUAUCAGCUUGUUGGUGGGGUAGUGGCUUACCAAGGCUUUGACGGGUAGCCGGCCUGAGAGGGUGACCGGCCACAUUGGGACUGAGAUACGGCCCAGACUCCUACGGGAGGCAGCAGUGGGGAAUAUUGCACAAUGGGCGGAAGCCUGAUGCAGCAACGCCGCGUGCGGGAUGACGGCCUUCGGGUUGUAAACCGCUUUCGCCUGUGACGAAGCGUGAGUGACGGUAAUGGGUAAAGAAGCACCGGCUAACUACGUGCCAGCAGCCGCGGUGAUACGUAGGGUGCGAGCGUUGUCCGGAUUUAUUGGGCGUAAAGGGCUCGUAGGUGGUUGAUCGCGUCGGAAGUGUAAUCUUGGGGCUUAACCCUGAGCGUGCUUUCGAUACGGGUUGACUUGAGGAAGGUAGGGGAGAAUGGAAUUCCUGGUGGAGCGGUGGAAUGCGCAGAUAUCAGGAGGAACACCAGUGGCGAAGGCGGUUCUCUGGGCCUUUCCUGACGCUGAGGAGCGAAAGCGUGGGGAGCGAACAGGCUUAGAUACCCUGGUAGUCCACGCUGUAAACGGUGGGUACUAGGUGUGGGGUCCAUUCCACGGGUUCCGUGCCGUAGCUAACGCUUUAAGUACCCCGCCUGGGGAGUACGGCCGCAAGGCUAAAACUCAAAGGAAUUGACGGGGCCCCGCACAAGCGGCGGAGCAUGCGGAUUAAUUCGAUGCAACGCGUAGAACCUUACCUGGGUUUGACAUGGAUCGGGAGUGCUCAGAGAUGGGUGUGCCUCUUUUAGGGUCGGUUCACAGGUGGUGCAUGGCUGUCGUCAGCUCGUGUCGUGAGAUGUUGGGUUAAGUCCCGCAACGAGCGCAACCCUUGUUCACUGUUGCCAGCACGUUAUGGUGGGGACUCAGUGGAGACCGCCGGGGUCAACUCGGAGGAAGGUGGGGAUGACGUCAAGUCAUCAUGCCCCUUAUGUCCAGGGCUUCACGCAUGCUACAAUGGUCGGUACAACGCGCAGCGACACUGUGAGGUGGAGCGAAUCGCUGAAAGCCGGCCUUAGUUCGGAUUGGGGUCUGCAACUCGACCCCAUGAAGUCGGAGUCGCUAGUAAUCGCAGAUCAGCAACGCUGCGGUGAAUACGUUCCCGGGCCU
RNAcentral lists this ribosomal RNA (1346 nucleotides) under uncultured bacterium. RNAcentral's name for it is "bacterial SSU rRNA". It matches the Rfam family "Bacterial small subunit ribosomal RNA", at positions 28 to 1381 of the family's 1533-position model. The record is from RNAcentral.